UACAGAGGUGUCAACCGUUGUCCGGAAUUACUGGGCGUAAAGGGCGCGUAGGCGGCCUUAUAAGUCAUGUGUGAAAGCUCUGGGCUCAACCCAGGAAUUGCAUGUGAUACUGUAAGGCUUGAGUUCGGUAGAGGAGGGCGGAAUUCCAGGUGUAGCGGUGAAAUGCGUAGAUAUCUGGAGGAACACCCGUGGCGAAGGCGGCUCUCUGGUCCGAAACUGACGCUGAGGUGCGAAAGCUAGGGUAGCAAACAGG
Molecule: ribosomal RNA, 253 nt
Filed under: uncultured bacterium
Lineage: Bacteria
Description: partial 16S ribosomal RNA
Rfam family: Bacterial small subunit ribosomal RNA
Source: RNAcentral